GACGAACGCUGGCGGCGUGCUUAACACAUGCAAGUCGAACGGAAAGGCCCUGCUUUUGUGGGGUGCUCGAGUGGCGAACGGGUGAGUAACACGUGAGUAACCUGCCCUUGACUUUGGGAUAACUUCAGGAAACUGGGGCUAAUACCGGAUAGGAGCUCCUGCUGCAUGGUGGGGGUUGGAAAGUUUCGGCGGUUGGGGAUGGACUCGCGGCUUAUCAGCUUGUUGGUGGGGUAGUGGCUUACCAAGGCUUUGACGGGUAGCCGGCCUGAGAGGGUGACCGGCCACAUUGGGACUGAGAUACGGCUCAGACUCCUACGGGAGGCAGCAGUGGGGAAUAUUGCACAAUGGGCGGAAGCCUGAUGCAGCAACGCCGCGUGCGGGAUGACGGCCUUCGGGUUGUAAACCGCUUUCGCCUGUGACGAAGCGUGAGUGACGGUAAUGGGUAAAGAAGCACCGGCUAACUACGUGCCAGCAGCCGCGGUGAUACGUAGGGUGCGAGCGUUGUCCGGAUUUAUUGGGCGUAAAGGGCUCGUAGGUGGUUGAUCGCGUCGGAGGUGUAAUCUUGGGGCUUAACCCUGAGCGUGCUUUCGAUGCGGGUUGACUUGAGGAAGGUAGGGGAGAAUGGAAUUCCUGGUGGAGCGGUGGAAUGCGCAGAUAUCAGGAGGAACACCAGUGGCGAAGGCGGUUCUCUGGGCCUCUCCUGACGCUGAGGAGCGAAAGCGUGGGGAGCGAACAGGCUUAGAUACCCUGGUAGUCCACGCUGUAAACGGUGGGUACUAGGUGUGGGGUCCAUUCCACGGGUUCCGUGCCGUAGCUAACGCUUUAAGUACCCCGCCUGGGGAGUACGGCCGCAAGGCUAAAACUCAAAGGAAUUGACGGGGCCCCGCACAAGCGGCGGAGCAUGCGGAUUAAUUCGAUGCAACGCGUAGAACCUUACCUGGGUUUGACAUGGAUCGGGAGUGCUCAGAGAUGGGUGUGCCUCUUUUGGGGUCGGUUCACAGGUGGUGCAUGGCUGUCGUCAGCUCGUGUCGUGAGAUGUUGGGUUAAGUCCCGCAACGAGCGCAACCCUUGUUCACUGUUGCCAGCACGUUAUGGUGGGGACUCAGUGGAGACCGCCGGGGUCAACUCGGAGGAAGGUGGGGAUGACGUCAAGUCAUCAUGCCCCUUAUGUCCAGGGCUUCACGCAUGCUACAAUGGCUGGUACAGAGAGUGGCGAGCCUGUGAGGGUGAGCGAAUCUCGGAAAGCCGGUCUCAGUUCGGAUUGGGGUCUGCAACUCGACCUCAUGAAGUCGGAGUCGCUAGUAAUCGCAGAUCAGCAACGCUGCGGUGAAUACGUUCCCGGG
This 1343-nucleotide ribosomal RNA is filed under the name uncultured bacterium. RNAcentral describes it as "16S ribosomal RNA". It matches the Rfam family "Bacterial small subunit ribosomal RNA", at positions 28 to 1378 of the family's 1533-position model. The record is from RNAcentral.